UAAUACAGAGGGGGCAAGCGUUGUUCGGAAUUACUGGGCGUAAAGGGCGCGUAGGCGGCCUGCUAAGUCGAACGUGAAAUCCCUGGGCUCAACCCAGGAACUGCGUCCGAUACUGGUUGGCUUGAAUCCGGGAGAGGGAUGUGGAAUUCCAGGUGUAGCGGUGAAAUGCGUAGAUAUCUGGAGGAACACCGGUGGCGAAGGCGACAUCCUGGACCGGUAUUGACGCUGAGGCGCGAAAGCCAGGGGAGCAAACGGGAUUAGAUACCC
Molecule: ribosomal RNA, 267 nt
Filed under: uncultured bacterium
Lineage: Bacteria
Description: partial 16S ribosomal RNA
Rfam family: Bacterial small subunit ribosomal RNA
Source: RNAcentral